UGGCGAACGGGUGAGUAACGCGUGAGGAACCUGCCUCAAAGAGGGGGGAAACAGUUGGAAACGACUGCUAAUACCGCAUAAGCCCACGACCCGGCAUCGGGUAGAGGGAAAAGGAGCAAUCCGCUUUGAGAUGGCCUCGCGUCCGAUUAGCUAGUUGGUGAGGUAAUGGCCCACCAAGGCGACGAUCGGUAGCCGGACUGAGAGGUUGAACGGCCACAUUGGGACUGAGACACGGCCCAG
This 240-nucleotide ribosomal RNA is filed under the name uncultured bacterium. RNAcentral's name for it is "partial 16S ribosomal RNA". It matches the Rfam family "Bacterial small subunit ribosomal RNA", at positions 96 to 334 of the family's 1533-position model. The record is from RNAcentral.